CUAAGAAUAUUCCGCAAUGGACGGAAGUCUGACGGAGCGACGCCGCGUGGAUGACGAAGGCCGAAAGGUUGUAAAGUUCUUUUGCUGGGGAAGAAUAACCGCAGGAGGGAAUGCCUGUGGGAUGACAAGAACCGGCGAAUAAGCCCCGGCCAACUACGUGCCAGCAGCCGCGGUAACACGUAGGGGGCGAGCGUUGUUCGGAAUUACUGGGCGGAAAGGGCAUGUAGGCGGCUUGGAAAGCCUGGCGUGAAAGUCUGCAGCUUAACUGCAGGGGUGCGCUGGGAACUGCUGAGCUUGAGUGACGGAGAGGGAGCUGGAAUUCCUGGUGUAGGGGUGAAAUCUGUAGAUAUCAGGAAGAACACCGAUGGCGAAGGCAAGCUCCUGGCCGAUGACUGACGCUGAGGUGCGAAAGUGUGGGGAUCAAACA
This 427-nucleotide ribosomal RNA is filed under the name uncultured bacterium. Its description in RNAcentral is "bacterial SSU rRNA". It matches the Rfam family "Bacterial small subunit ribosomal RNA", at positions 355 to 774 of the family's 1533-position model. The record is from RNAcentral.